This 253-nucleotide ribosomal RNA is filed under the name uncultured bacterium. Its description in RNAcentral is "partial 16S ribosomal RNA". It matches the Rfam family "Bacterial small subunit ribosomal RNA", at positions 524 to 776 of the family's 1533-position model. The record is from RNAcentral.
UACGUAGGGGGCGAGCGUUGUCCGGAAUUACUGGGCGUAAAGGGCGCGCAGGCGGCCGUGUAAGUCCGCUGUGAAAGACCGGGGCUCAACCCCGGGGUGUCAGCGGGGACUGCACGGCUGGAGUCCCGGAGAGGGAGGCGGAAUACCUGGUGUAGCGGUGGAAUGCGUAGAGAUCAGGUGGAACACCGAUGGCGAAGGCAGCCUCCUGGACGGGUACUGACGCUGAGGCGCGAAAGCGUGGGGAGCAAACAGG